AGGACGAACGCUGGCGGCGUGCCUAACACAUGCAAGUCGAACGCGCUCCAUUCGGUAGCAAUACUGAUGAAGAGCGAGUGGCGAACGGGUGAGUAGCACGUGAGCAACCUGCCCCGAAGACUGGGACAACACCGGGAAACCGGUGCUAAUACCGGAUAUCCCUAUCGGACCGCAUGAUCUGAUAAGGAAAUGGAUUCCGCUUCGGGAGGGGCUCGCGGCCUAUCAGCUAGUUGGUGAGGUAACGGCCCACCAAGGCAUCGACGGGUAGCUGGUCUGAGAGGACGAUCAGCCACACUGGGACUGAGACACGGCCCAGACUCCUACGGGAGGCAGCAGUGGGGAAUCUUGCGCAAUGGGCGAAAGCCUGACGCAGCAACGCCGCGUGGAGGACGAAGGCUUUCUGAGUUGUAAACUCCUUUCAGCAGGGACGAUAGUGACGGUACCUGCAGAGGAAGCACCGGCAACUACGUGCCAGCAGCCGUA
RNAcentral lists this ribosomal RNA (483 nucleotides) under uncultured bacterium. Its description in RNAcentral is "SSU rRNA". It matches the Rfam family "Bacterial small subunit ribosomal RNA", at positions 26 to 519 of the family's 1533-position model. The record is from RNAcentral.